RNAcentral lists this ribosomal RNA (459 nucleotides) under uncultured bacterium. RNAcentral's name for it is "partial 16S ribosomal RNA". It matches the Rfam family "Bacterial small subunit ribosomal RNA", at positions 338 to 795 of the family's 1533-position model. The record is from RNAcentral.
CCUACGGGGGGCAGCAGUGAGGAAUAUUGGUCAAUGGGCUUACGCCUGAACCAGCCAAGCCGCGUGAGGGAUGAAGGUACAGAGUAUCGUAAACCUCUUUUGUCAGGGAACAAAGGCGGGGACGUGUCCCCGGAUGAGUGUACCUGAAGAAAAAGCAUCGGCUAACUCCGUGCCAGCAGCCGCGGUAAUACGGAGGAUGCGAGCGUUAUCCGGAUUUAUCGGGUUUAAAGGGUGCGCAGGCGGUCUGUUAAGUCAGCGGUCAAAGCCCGGGGCUCAACCCCGGCCCGCCGUUGAAACUGGCAGUCUCGAGUUGGAGAGAGGUAUGCGGAAUGCGCGGUGUAGCGGUGAAAUGCAUAGAUAUCGCGAAGAACUCCGAUUGCGAAGGCAGCAUGCCGGCUCCACACUGACGCUGAGGCACGAAAGCGUGGGUAUCGAACAGGAUUAGAUACCCCAGUAGUC